UGGGGAAUAUUGCACAAUGGGGGAAACCCUGAUGCAGCGACGCCGCGUGAGUGAAGAAGGUUUUCGAAUCGUAAAGCUCUGUCCUAUGAGAAGAUAAUGACGGUAUCAUAGGAGGAAGCCCCGGCUAAAUACGUGCCAGCAGCCGCGGUAAUACGUAUGGGGCGAGCGUUGUCCGGAAUUAUUGGGCGUAAAGGGUACGUAGGCGGUCUAUUAAGUCAGGUGUGAAAGCGUGAGGCUUAACCUCAUUAAGCACUUGAAACUGAUAGACUUGAGUGAAGGAGAGGAAAGUGGAAUUCCUAGUGUAGCGGUGAAAUGCGUAGAUAUUAGGAGGAAUACCGGUGGCGAAGGCGACUUUCUGGACUUUUACUGACGCUCAGGUACGAAAGCGUGGGGAGCAAACAGG
This 403-nucleotide ribosomal RNA is filed under the name Verrucomicrobiota bacterium. RNAcentral describes it as "Verrucomicrobia bacterium partial 16S ribosomal RNA". It matches the Rfam family "Bacterial small subunit ribosomal RNA", at positions 355 to 776 of the family's 1533-position model. The record is from RNAcentral. Lineage: Bacteria; Pseudomonadati; Verrucomicrobiota.